This 301-nucleotide ribosomal RNA is filed under the name uncultured bacterium. Its description in RNAcentral is "partial 16S ribosomal RNA". It matches the Rfam family "Bacterial small subunit ribosomal RNA", at positions 509 to 807 of the family's 1533-position model. The record is from RNAcentral.
CAGCAGCCGCGGGAAUACGUAGGGUGCAAGCGUUAAUCGGAAUUACUGGGCGUAGAGCGUGCGCAGGCGGUUUGUUAAGACAGAUGUGAAAUCCCCGGGCUCAACCUGGGAACUGCAUUUGUGACUGGCAAGCUAGAGUGUGGCAGAGGGGGGUGGAAUUCCGCGUGUAGCAGUGAAAUGCGUAGAUAUGCGGAGGAACACCGAUGGCGAAGGCAGCCCCCUGGGCCAACACUGACGCUCAUGCACGAAAGCGUGGGGAGCAAACAGGAUUAGAUACCCCCGUAGUCCCUGUCUCUUAUAC